This is a long non-coding RNA of Camelina sativa (false flax), 716 nucleotides long. RefSeq lists it as uncharacterized. The record is from RefSeq and is a predicted model, not a curated record. Lineage: Eukaryota; Viridiplantae; Streptophyta; Magnoliopsida; Brassicales; Brassicaceae.
ACAUCAAGAGGUUCUUUCUUAUUCUCAAAUUUUUCAUUUCUCAAAUGUCCAAAUAAUACUCUCUGUUGUUAGAAAAAAAAACCUUUUGAUAUAUGUUCUUCUACCAACAACUCAAGCUUAUCUCUCUGAUCUCCUCAUUCCCCGACCGACUACCAUAGAGACUCAGAGUCAUCACCCUACAAGAUGUUUAUGAAGAACACAAAUGCAAAAGGAUUGUGUAGAGAAAAGGCCGAAAUGGGACAAGUGGUCCGAUCCGAUCCCUCACAUUCAAGAUCCUUUGAGAAGUGCAGGCGGAGAAAUGAUGGAGACACGUUAAGGAACAGAGAAUCUUGCGAACGUGCCAUAUGUUUUGGUUGAGUAUUGGGUGUGUGUGACCAAAUGCUUGUAAUAUUUAAGUGAUGAUUUAGAUGGAUGUGUGACGUAUGUAUGUGUGCAUGGUAAAAGAUGUGUAGGCAUGGUGUCUGACGUAUGCUUGUAUAGAUUAGAUAAAUGUGUAGGAUGUGGAUGUAUGUUUGUAUAGAUUAGAUGAAUGUUUAGGAUGUGGUUGCUUGUAUAAAUUAGAUGAAAGUGUAGGAUGUACGUGGAUAUGUAUGCUUGUCGAUGAAUGUUUAGGAUGUGGAUUUGUACUCUUGUAUAGUAGAUGAAUGUUUAGGAUGUGGAUGCUUGUAUAAAUUACAUGAAUGUUUAGGAUGUGGAUGUGCUUGGAUGAAUUAGAU